RNAcentral lists this ribosomal RNA (478 nucleotides) under uncultured bacterium. RNAcentral describes it as "partial 16S ribosomal RNA". It matches the Rfam family "Bacterial small subunit ribosomal RNA", at positions 28 to 523 of the family's 1533-position model. The record is from RNAcentral.
GACGAACGCUGGCGGCGUGCUUAACACAUGCAAGUCGAACGGGAAGGCCCUUCGGGGUACACGAGUGGCGAACGGGUGAGUAACACGUGGGUGAUCUGCCCUGCACUUCGGGAUAAGCCUGGGAAACUGGGUCUAAUACCGGAUAGGACUCCUGGCUUCAUGUGUGGGGGUGGAAAGCUUUUGCGGUGUGGGAUGGGCGCGUGGCCGAUCAGCGUGUGGGUGGGGUAAUGGCCUACCAAGGCGACGACGGGUAGCCGGCCUGAGAGGGUGACCGGUCACACUGGGACUGAGAUACGGCCCAGACUCCUACGGGAGGCAGCAGUGGGGAAUAUUGCACAAUGGGCGCAAGCCUGAUGCAGCGACGCCGCGUGAGGGAUGACGGCCUUCGGGUUGUAAACCUCUUUCAGCUAUGACGAAGCGCAAGUGACGGUAGUAGCAGAAGAAGGACCGGCCAACUACGUGCCAGCAGCCGCCGUAA